GCGGCCUUCGGGACAGAGGAGACAGGUGGUGCAUGGUUGUCGUCAGCUCGUGUCGUGAGAUGUUGGGUUAAGUCCCGCAACGAGCGCAACCCUUAACUUUAGUUGCCAGCAAGUAAUGUUGGGCACUCUAGAGUGACUGCCGGUGACAAACCGGAGGAAGGUGGGGAUGACGUCAAAUCAUCAUGCCCCUUAUGACCUGGGCUACACACGUACUACAAUGGCCGGUACAACGGGAAGCGAAGCCGCGAGGUGGAGCCAAUCCCAUCAAAGCCGGUCUCAGUUCGGAUUGCAGGCUGCAACUCGCCUGCAUGAAGUCGGAAUUGCUAGUAAUCGCGGAUCAGCAUGCCGCGGUGAAUACGUUCCCGGGUCUUGUACACACCGCCCGUCACACCACGAGAGUUUACAACACCCGAAGUCGGUGGGGUAACCCGCAAGGGAGCCAGCCGCCGAAGGUGGGGUAGAUGAUUGGGGUGAAGUCGUAACAAGGUAGCCGUAUCGGAAGGUGCGGCUGGAUCACCUCCUUUCUAUGGAGA
Molecule: ribosomal RNA, 533 nt
Filed under: Paenibacillus odorifer
Lineage: Bacteria; Bacillati; Bacillota; Bacilli; Caryophanales; Paenibacillaceae
Description: bacterial SSU rRNA
Rfam family: Bacterial small subunit ribosomal RNA
Source: RNAcentral